RNAcentral lists this ribosomal RNA (499 nucleotides) under uncultured bacterium. RNAcentral's name for it is "bacterial SSU rRNA". It matches the Rfam family "Bacterial small subunit ribosomal RNA", at positions 25 to 518 of the family's 1533-position model. The record is from RNAcentral.
CAGGACGAACGCUGGCGGCGUGCUUAACACAUGCAAGUCGAACGAGGAGUUAUGUUGGAAGGGCUUCGGCCUGGAAGGCGGUAAUUCGAGUGGCGGACGGGUGAGUAACGCGUGAACAAUCUGUCCCGGACAGGGGAAUAACACUUGGAAACAGGUGCUAAUACCGCAUAAGACCACGCCCUCGCAUGGGGGAGGGGUAAAAGGAGGAAUCCGGUUCGGGGUGAGUUCGCGUCCGAUUAGAUAGUUGGUGAGGUAACGGCCCACCAAGUCGACGAUCGGUAGCCGACCUGAGAGGGUGAUCGGCCACAUUGGAACUGAGAGACGGUCCAAACUCCUACGGGAGGCAGCAGUGGGGAAUAUUGGGCAAUGGGCGAAAGCCUGACCCAGCAACGCCGCGUGAGUGAAGAAGGCUUUCGGGUUGUAAAGCUCUGUUAUAGGGGACGAAGGAAGUGACGGUACCCUAUAAGGAAGCCCCGGCUAACUACGUGCCAGCAGCAGC